This 1521-nucleotide ribosomal RNA is filed under the name Vibrio parahaemolyticus. RNAcentral describes it as "bacterial LSU rRNA". It matches the Rfam family "Bacterial large subunit ribosomal RNA", at positions 1 to 1571 of the family's 2925-position model. Lineage: Bacteria; Pseudomonadati; Pseudomonadota; Gammaproteobacteria; Vibrionales; Vibrionaceae. The record is from RNAcentral.
GUUGUAUGGUUAAGUGACUAAGCGUACACGGUGGAUGCCUUGGCAGUCAGAGGCGAUGAAAGACGUAGUAACUUGCGAUAAGCCCAGAUUAGGUAGUAACAACCAUUUGAGUCUGGGAUUUCUGAAUGGGGAAACCCACGUGCAUAAGCACGUAUCCUUACCUGAAUACAUAGGGUAAGGAGGCGAACCGGGGGAACUGAAACAUCUAAGUACCCCGAGGAAAAGAAAUCAACCGAGAUUCCGAAAGUAGCGGCGAGCGAAAUUGGACUAGCCCUUAAGCUUUACACGCGUUAGACGAACGGUCUGGAAAGUCCGACGAUACAGGGUGAUAGUCCCGUAGUUGACGACGUGUGUUCAGUGAAAUCGAGUAGGGCGGGACACGUGAUAUCCUGUCUGAAUAUGGGGGGACCAUCCUCCAAGGCUAAAUACUACUGACUGACCGAUAGUGAACCAGUACCGUGAGGGAAAGGCGAAAAGAACCCCUGUGAGGGGAGUGAAAUAGAACCUGAAACCGUGUACGUACAAGCAGUAGGAGCAGGCUUUGUCCUGUGACUGCGUACCUUUUGUAUAAUGGGUCAGCGACUUAUAUUCAGUGGCAAGGUUAACCAUCUAGGGGAGCCGUAGGGAAACCGAGUCUUAACUGGGCGUUCAGUCUCUGGAUAUAGACCCGAAACCAGGUGAUCUAGCCAUGGGCAGGUUGAAGGUUGAGUAACAUCAACUGGAGGACCGAACCGACUAAUGUUGAAAAAUUAGCGGAUGACUUGUGGCUAGGGGUGAAAGGCCAAUCAAACCUGGAGAUAGCUGGUUCUCCCCGAAAGCUAUUUAGGUAGCGCCUCGGACGAAUACUACUGGGGGUAGAGCACUGUUAAGGCUAGGGGGUCAUCCCGACUUACCAACCCUUUGCAAACUCCGAAUACCAGUAAGUACUAUCCGGGAGACACACGGCGGGUGCUAACGUCCGUCGUGGAGAGGGAAACAACCCAGACCGCCAGCUAAGGUCCCAAAUUACUACUAAGUGGGAAACGAUGUGGGAAGGCUCAGACAGCCAGGAUGUUGGCUUAGAAGCAGCCAUCAUUUAAAGAAAGCGUAAUAGCUCACUGGUCGAGUCGGCCUGCGCGGAAGAUGUAACGGGGCUAAGUAGUAAACCGAAGCUGCGGCAAUAUACUUUUGUAUAUUGGGUAGGGGAGCGUUCUGUAAGCGGUUGAAGGUGUGUGGUAACGCAUGCUGGACGUAUCAGAAGUGCGAAUGCUGACAUGAGUAACGAUAAAGGGGGUGAAAAACCUCCUCGCCGGAAGACCAAGGGUUCCUGUCCAACGUUAAUCGGGGCAGGGUAAGUCGACCCCUAAGGCGAGGCCGAAAGGCGUAGUCGAUGGGAAACGGGUUAAUAUUCCCGUACUUCUUACAAUUGCGAUGGGGGGACGGAGAAGGCUAGGUGGGCCUGGCGACGGUUGUCCAGGUUCAAGUGCGUAGGCUUAAGAGUUAGGUAAAUCCGGCUCUUUCUAAGGCUGAGACACGACGUCG